This 253-nucleotide ribosomal RNA is filed under the name uncultured bacterium. Its description in RNAcentral is "partial 16S ribosomal RNA". It matches the Rfam family "Bacterial small subunit ribosomal RNA", at positions 524 to 776 of the family's 1533-position model. The record is from RNAcentral.
UACGGAGGGUGCGAGCGUUAAUCGGAAUUACUGGGCGUAAAGGGUGCGUAGGUGGUUUGAUAAGUUAUCUGUGAAAUUCCUGGGCUCAACCUGGGGAGGUCAGAUGGUACUGUUAGACUGGAGUAUGGGAGAGGGUGGAAGAAUUUCCGGUGUAGCGGUGAAAUGCGUAGAGAUCGGAAGGAACACCGGUGGCGAAGGCGUCCACCUGGCCUGAUACUGACACUGAGGCACGAAAGCGUGGGGAGCAAACAGG